GAUGGCGACCGGCGCACGGGUGAGUAACACGUAUCCAACCUGCCGAUGACUCGGGGAUAGCCUUUCGAAAGAAAGAUUAAUACCCGAUGGCAUAGUUCUUCCGCAUGGUGGAACUAUUAAAGAAUUUCGGUCAUCGAUGGGGAUGCGUUCCAUUAGGUUGUUGGCGGGGUAACGGGCCCACCAAGCCUUCGAUGGAUAGGGGUUCUGAGAGGAAGGUCCCCCACCAUUGGAACUGAGACACGGUCCAAACUCCUACGGGAGGCAGCAUG
RNAcentral lists this ribosomal RNA (269 nucleotides) under uncultured bacterium. RNAcentral's name for it is "partial 16S ribosomal RNA". It matches the Rfam family "Bacterial small subunit ribosomal RNA", at positions 87 to 353 of the family's 1533-position model. The record is from RNAcentral.